UAACAAGGAUUCCCCUAGUAACUGCGAGUGAAGCGGGAUGAGCUCAAAUUUAAAAUCUGGCAGUCUUCUAGCUGUCCGAGUUGUAAUCUGGAGAAGCGUUUUCUGUGUUAGACCGUGUACAAGUCUCCUGGAACGGAGCGUCAUAGAGGGUGAGAAUCCCGUCCAUGACACGGACAACUAAUACUUUGUGAUACGCUCUCGAAGAGUCGAGUUGUUUGGGAAUGCAGCUCAAAAUGGGUGGUAAAUUCCAUCUAAAGCUAAAUACAGGCGAGAGACCGAUAGCGAACAAGUACCGUGAGGGAAAGAUGAAAAGCACUUUGGAAAGAGAGUUAAACAGUACGUGAAAUUGUUGAAAGGGAAACGCUUGAAGUCAGUCGCGUUGUACAGAACUCAGCCUUGCUCUUUUGCUUGGUGUACUUUCUGUAUUCAACGGGUCAACAUCAAUUUUGGCUCAUGGAGAAAGGUGGGGGGAAUGUAGCGUUGUUUCGGCAGCGUGUUAUAGCCCCUCACUGUAUACAUGGGCUGGGAUUGAGGAACGCAGCACGCCCUUGUGGCCGGGGGUUCGCCCCACGUACCGUGCUUCGGAUGUUGGCAGAAUGGCUUUAAGCGACCCGUCUUGAAACACGGACCAAGGAGUCUAACAUGCUUGCGAGUGUUCGGGUGGAAAACCCUUGUGCGUAAUAAAAGUGAAAGUUGGGAACCUCCGCAAGGGGGUGCACCGACGCCCGGCCCUGACGUUCUCUGACGGUGCUGCGGUAGAGCAAGUAUGCUAGGACCCGAAAGAUGGUGAACUAUGCCUGAAUAGGGCGAAGCCAGAGGAAACUCUGGUGGAGGCUCGUAGCGAUUCUGACGUGCAAAUCGAUCGUCAAAUUUGGG
RNAcentral lists this ribosomal RNA (876 nucleotides) under Fomitiporia sp. PS6 MA-2013. RNAcentral describes it as "eukaryotic LSU rRNA". It matches the Rfam family "Eukaryotic large subunit ribosomal RNA", at positions 66 to 915 of the family's 3401-position model. Lineage: Eukaryota; Fungi; Basidiomycota; Agaricomycetes; Hymenochaetales; Hymenochaetaceae. The record is from RNAcentral.